CCUACGGGAGGCAGCAGUGGGGAAUAUUGCACAAUGGGGGAAACCCUGAUGCAGCGACGCCGCGUGAGUGAAGAAGUAUUUCUGUAUGUAAAGCUCUAUCAGCAGGGAAGAAAAUGACGGUACCUGAUUCAGAAGCCCCUGCUAACUACGUGCCAGCAUCCGCGGUAAUACGUAGGGGGCAAGCGUUAUCCGGAUUUACUGGGUGUAAAGGGAGCGUAGACGGCAUCACAAGUCUGGAGUGAAAUGCCGGGGCUUAACCCCGGAACUGCUUUGGAAACUGUGCAGCUAGAGUGAAGGAGAGGUAAGUGGAAUUCCUGGGGUAGCGGUGAAAUGCGUAGAUAUUAGGAGGAACACCAGUGGCGAAGGCGGCUUACUGGACUGUAACUGACGUUGAGGCUCGAAAGCGUGGGGAGCAAACAGGAUUAGAUACCCGGGUAGUC
This 440-nucleotide ribosomal RNA is filed under the name uncultured bacterium. RNAcentral describes it as "partial 16S ribosomal RNA". It matches the Rfam family "Bacterial small subunit ribosomal RNA", at positions 338 to 795 of the family's 1533-position model. The record is from RNAcentral.